AUAUUGCGCAAUGGGCGAAAGCCUGACGCAGCGACGCCGUGUGAGUUAGAAGGCCUUCGGGUCGUAAACCUCUGUCAGAAGGGAAGAACCCCCAAGGUUCGAGGGGGCUUUGGGCUGACGGUUCUUCAGAGGCACCGAAUUCCGUGCCAGCAGCCGCGGUAAUACGGAAGGUGCAAGUUAAUCGGAAUUACUGGGCGUAAAGCGCACGUAGGCUGCUUUGUAAGUCGGAUGUGAAAGCCCUCGGCCCAA
This 249-nucleotide ribosomal RNA is filed under the name uncultured Desulfovibrio sp. RNAcentral's name for it is "partial 16S ribosomal RNA". It matches the Rfam family "Bacterial small subunit ribosomal RNA", at positions 361 to 612 of the family's 1533-position model. The record is from RNAcentral. Lineage: Bacteria; Pseudomonadati; Thermodesulfobacteriota; Desulfovibrionia; Desulfovibrionales; Desulfovibrionaceae.